AGGUACAUCUUUUUGCAACAUGACAGUGCAUUUUCCCACGAAAAAACGGACAGUGCAUUUUUCGAGGAAACUGGAAAGAAGAACAAAAACCUGACUGGAAUAAGAAACAAGGCUAACACUAAAGGAAGUGCUUGUUUGAAACUUGUUUCUUGAAUCACGAAGCUGGGAGAAUGCUGCAGACUUAGCUAGCACGUGUCUUUCUCAUUUUUUGUUUUUUAUUUCAUAUGGCAUCACUAAUUGGCCGUGUUGCCUUGGCCGUCUUCAUUGUUCGCUAACUGCUCAAUCCAGUUGGGAUCAAUUACUAGGAUAGAACUUAGGAAAUGAUCAUGAAAUCUCUUCAGACAGAAGGCUCAUAUUGCGGUGCAAUUGGCUGUCGUAAUCGGAAGGGAGGGAUGCGCCAUCUAUCGUUUCACCGUUUUCCCAUUGAUCCAGCAAGGUCGAGCCAGUGGGUGCAGCUCUGUCAGCGGGCGGACCUAAUUGACAAGUCCCCCGAGUACCUCUAUGAAAACAUCAGGCUGUGCUCAGAACACUUUGAGCCUUCUUAUUACUAUCCGGGUGGAAGCAGGCGGCUGAAACGUGACGCAGUUCCCACCAUUUUUAAUGUGUCCAACCCGCCAAAGCCGGUCACAAUUCGAAGACUCUCGCCGGUCCAACAGGCCAGUCCUGUGAAAUAUAUUGAAAAAGAGGCUGUGCAACUCCCUAUCAUUGACUGGAAUGGGAUCGAUAUUGUGUUCUCAUCUGAGGACGUUGACAUACGGCUACCCGUCUCGGAUGGUAAUACCUGCUCGGAGACAGGAGGACCCGCUGAGACUUCUCAGGAAGCCAGUUCAUCCAAACCCACGGCUGCCAGUCGCAGGUGACACCAGUCAAACCGGGAGACCAGGUGGGGCUAUGCCCAAGGCUCAGAAAACGUCUGCUCGAGAGCCAGAAUGUGAUGGACGUUUAUCAGGCAAAUACUUCUGCCAGAAGUGAAAAAAAAUAAACAAACGGAUGUGUAUCAGCGAAUAGACGCUGGCUGCUUCAUUUUUUUUUCAACAACGCAUAAGUCUACCGGAUUACAAGCGUCGUGAGAUCGUUUUCGUGGGUGCGAGCUUGCCCUGUAGCUGUUCGUUCAGUAGUUAGUACGCCCCACUGUUUUGGUGUUUAUACACUGUUGCUAAAACGAUUGACC
Amphibalanus amphitrite is the source of this 1171-nucleotide long non-coding RNA. RefSeq lists it as uncharacterized. The record is from RefSeq and is a predicted model, not a curated record. Lineage: Eukaryota; Metazoa; Arthropoda; Thecostraca; Balanomorpha; Balanidae. The transcript has 3 exons.